RNAcentral lists this long non-coding RNA (394 nucleotides) under Gallus gallus (chicken). The record is from RNAcentral. Lineage: Eukaryota; Metazoa; Chordata; Aves; Galliformes; Phasianidae.
GGCCGCAGACCCGGUGGUGCCGCUGUUGGCCACCAGCACGGAGGAGGGCCGCAAAGUGCAGCGCAGUGGGGGGGCCGCAUUCCCGGCUGUGUUCCGCCGCGUGGCCGAUGCGGCGCUGCGCGACGAUGGCUGAGGGGGGGCGUGGGGUCCUCACGGCUCCGUGGGGACAGCGCUGACACCGUGGGACCCUCCUGGACAGCGGGGGUCCUCCCGUCACCGUGAGGUCCUCCCACCGCCAUGGGGACACCGUGGGGACCCUUCUGUCACUGUGAGGUCCUCCUGGCACUGUAGGGACAGCACUGACACCGUGGGACCCUCCUGGACAGCAGGGGUCCUCCCAUCACCAUGAGGUCCUCCUGCCGCCAUGGGGACACCGUGGGGACCCUUCUGUCAC